Molecule: small nuclear RNA, 149 nt
Filed under: Crocodylus porosus (Australian saltwater crocodile)
Lineage: Eukaryota; Metazoa; Chordata; Crocodylia; Crocodylidae
Description: U1 spliceosomal RNA (ENSCPRG00005009904.1)
Rfam family: U1 spliceosomal RNA
About the family: U1 is a small nuclear RNA (snRNA) component of the spliceosome (involved in pre-mRNA splicing). Its 5' end forms complementary base pairs with the 5' splice junction, thus defining the 5' donor site of an intron. There are significant differences in sequence and secondary structure between metazoan and yeast U1 snRNAs, the latter being much longer (568 nucleotides as compared to 164 nucleotides in human).
Source: RNAcentral
AUACUUACCUGGCAGGGGAAGCACCGUGACCACAUAGGUGGGCUCCCCAGGGCAAGUGAUUGUCUCUAAUAUGUCCUCCAUAGGAGGUCUAUAUUGAGCAGACUUUUUUUGGUGUUGGGUGGUAGAACUGGAGUUUGCUCCAUCCACUC